RNAcentral lists this long non-coding RNA (2472 nucleotides) under Homo sapiens (human). RNAcentral's name for it is "non-protein coding lnc-APOC3-3:1". Lineage: Eukaryota; Metazoa; Chordata; Mammalia; Primates; Hominidae. The record is from RNAcentral.
GGGUUGCCAUAAGCCAGGAGACAGCUGGUUUGAAAAGGCUAAUAAUAAAUAGGGCAGUACCACUAUUUAUCUACUGGUUUUUAGUUAUGUUAGGUCAUGGGAAUGAACACGGCUGGCCUGUUUCACUCUGAAGUAGUUCUUAACCUCUUUUCUGACAUCAGCUGUGAUUUCUACAUUCACUGACAUGAAAGCACUACAUAGAUUUUUCUCUCUGGCGGUGCAGUGUGUCUCAAAAGGUAUGAGAAAACUGCUUUGAGGACUCUGAGCCCCUCGGUAUAUGGAGACUUGGUGGGUGAGCCAAUUUAAUCCCUUGCCCCAUUGGUUCUAAACAAAGUGCUUUUAGCCAAGCAAGAUGCUGUGUGGUUCUUGAUGAGUAAGCCUAUCAGGGCAGAGUUGUUUGCCUCUAAGUAGAAGCUUUUUGGCAGUAGCUGCAGGUUACAUUCUCCAUCAGAAGCAUUAUGUAAGCCUGGGUUUUGCGUUCCCAGUAAUAAAAUGCUCAUGCAGUAUUACAAUUAAUUAAGUCACAAUGAAGUCUAAUCAAUAAAGACUCAAAAAUAUUGUCCACAAGAGAUCUCUAUGCCUUCACUAACGCUGCAGUUUUUUCACUGUAAAUUAAUUUUCCUUCAGUUAAAUAAACGAUCUUAGUAUGUCUGCUAGCAGGUGGUACAACAGGGGAAUAGGGUAAACUAGGCUUUAAGUAUGUUGUUAAAAAAAUAUAUUGAAUGAAUCUGGUGCUCAAAAAAUUUAAGUUAUUUGCAUCCAUCGGUGGAAGGGCAGAUCAGAGGAAAUAUUUGCCAACACAUGAAGCCAGGCCAGGUUUCACCUUCCACAACAGCUCAAGAAAACAGCAAGUUUCAACUUUUAAUCCUUCUAUAAUUUAGACUCAGGGUUUUAUCAAACUGCUCUUUGGGAUGCUCUGAGAAGUUUAAUCCAAAAACACUGGCCUGGAUCAAACUUAUUUUACUUAAGGAAUAGGAAGCAAACUCUACAGUAGAUCAAAACACCCUUUUACACCUAAAAGUCAUUUGACUUGGUCACCUUCACAAUAACUCAUAUAACAAAACUACAUAAAACCAUGGCUGGGCGUGAUGGCUCACGCCUAUGAUCCCAGCAUUUUGGGAGGCAGAGCCAGGCGGAUUGCUUGAACCUAGGAGUUCAAGACCAGCCUGGGCAACAUGAUGAAAAUCUUGUCUCUACACUAAAAAAAAAAAAAAAAAAAAAGUAUAUAAAACCAAGUGGUUUGAUGAAUAAAUAAUUUAGAUCAUGUUAAUAAUAUAAUACAAGAGUCUGGCAGGGCACGGUGGCUCACGUCUGUAAUCCCAGCACUUUGGGAAGCCGAGGCGGGCAGAUCACUUGAGGCCAGGAGUUCAAGACCAGCCUGGCCAACAUGACGAGACCCCGUCUCCACUAAAAAUACAAAAAUUAGCUGGGUGUGGUGGCACAGGCCUAUAGUCCUAGCUACUUUGGAGCCUGAGGUAGGAGGGUUGUUUGAACCCAGGAGUUUGAGGCUACAGUGAGCUAUGGUCAUACCACUAGGCUCUAGCUUAGGUGACAGAGCAAGACCCUGUCGCCAAAAAUAUAAAAACUGAAAAAUUGAAAUAUUUUUAAAAAAUAUAUUGGCUGGGUGACAGAGAUCCUGUCUCAAAAAAUAAACCUAUUAAAAAAGAAAUUAUUUUAUAAACUCAAAAGCCCUAAACAAAUGUAAUUAUUUGAUAUUACUACUGAUAUUAUGAUUUGGAUAAGACUACUCUCCAGAGGGGCUUUUGGAGUCAGUGUUCGAACAACCCUAUGCAUUAAUUCAUUCAACAAAUAUUUACUGAGUGCCUACUAGAACUCAGGCACCGUCCAAAGCCCUGGGAACAUAACAGUAAACAAAAACCAAAUGCUUAUUAUGGUCAAGUGGUGAUAGGAGGUGAGGAGACAAUAAAGUAAGUGCUAUGAAGAAAAAGCAGAAUUACAGAAAGAGAAUGAUGGGGGUAGCCAGGACAGGCCUCUCUGAGGGGACCUAUGACUCCUCUCUGAGGGGAAUGUAUGUGUUUGGCAAGUCUGAGAAACAGCAAGGAAGGCCCUGUGACUGGAGCUCAGAACCGGAGGUGAACAGUAACAGGAAAUGAGACCAAAGAAGGGGCAAUGACAGCUGUGCCUUGUAGGCCAUAGUAAUAAUGACUCCUUGAAUUUUAUUCUGAAUGUAAACAAAUGCCACUGGGGAUGGGGUGGUUCUGAUUCAGAUUUCAUAUUUACUAAGUCCUACUACACACCAGAUCCUGUGGUAGGUUAUUGACAGUUGUGAAAAAGACAUGUUUCGUCUGUACUUUCACUAAGUUCAGUCUGGUGUGGAAGACAUACAAUGAAAGAAGUAGUUACAAUAUAAAGCUUGGUAAGCACCACGAUAAGAGAAAGUUUAGAGACAUGAAGAGUGAAUAGAAAUUAUCUAGAUUCUUAUUUCUAUCCAAUCUAAUUUUUUUUAUUCUG